This is a long non-coding RNA of Ananas comosus (pineapple), 2041 nucleotides long. RefSeq lists it as uncharacterized. The record is from RefSeq and is a predicted model, not a curated record. The transcript is spliced from 6 exons. NCBI's taxonomy places the organism in Eukaryota, Viridiplantae, Streptophyta, Magnoliopsida, Poales, Bromeliaceae.
GCUUUUCUCUCUCUUUCUCUCUCUCUAGGUUUUCCAAUUGAAGAUGGAAAACUAGUGUGUUAAGCUUGAUUCUCCCUCUUCUCUUGAUGUUGACUGAAGUGAAAGGCUUUGAACUUGAGUUUUGUUAUUGGAGAAGGAGAUUUUGGGAGGUAUUUCGUGACUUUAGCUCAGCAAGAAACUGAGUUGAGAUUUGGUAAGGUUUUGGAAGGAUUAAAUAGCCAUGGAAGAGGUAUUUCUCUGGUCUAACUCAGCUAGGAACUGAGCUGAAGCUUAGUGAGCUGGUUUGGAAGACUUUAUAGCAGCAAUAAGGGUGUUGUUUCAUUGUGUUUCUUCAAUCCUAACUCAAUAGAAAGCUGAGUUACAGCUCGUGAAGUUUUAAUGCAGUCCACAGCAGGUUCGCAGCAGGGGAAUUGGGCCCCUUUUGAGAUGAGUUUAGUGACUGUUAUGGACUGACUAUGAUGUGUUUCAACCUAAGUUGAAGCCAUGCAAGAUUCACAGCAGAUUGUUGAACCCCAUUAGCUGAAAUUUGUGAUGCCUUAGAAGGAGAAAUUUGAGACUUUUUAACCUGAAUUGAAGUGGAAUUAAAGCUGGAUGUUAUUCUAGGGUACUCGGAGGCUUCGAAUUACCUUCAUUGGUAGAAUUGAUGAGGCGUCGACUAUUUGGUCGGUCGGACCUUCCCGAAAUGGGUGAAUUCCCCCUAUGUCUCCUUUGACAUUAUGAAUUGAAGUUAUUACUUAUUUAUGAAUAUAUGUAUAGUGCGAGGAGUUGAAACAUGCGUGAAUGUGUAGAUCAUAUCGGAUAUGAUAGCAUAUCUAAACAAUAAGGAAAGACUUAUAACUUGCUUAUUUCAAUAAUCACUUGUUUGAUUAUUAUGCAUUCAUGGUAUUAAUGAUUUGUAUAAGCAAGUUAAGCUUGAGGUUAUUUAAAAAGAUAUAACUAUUACAGCGUGAAUAUACCAUUUAGCUCAGCUGAACAGCAAAGGAAGUGACGUACUUGGGAUUACGCUAAGUAAUGUUAUAUUGUAAGCAUGAUGGCUAUACUUGAAUCUGUCGUGCAGAUGAAUUGGCUUGAGUAUACAUUCAUAGUAUAGAAUGAACUGUAUAGAGAUUAUGUGAAAAGUAUUUCAUCGAUUAUUUUGCCUACUUAUAUUAAGUAGUUGGUUUCUACCUUCACCUGAUAAGAUUGGCUAGAGCUUCACUUGAUAUUAUAUGAACUAGUCAGGUAACUAGAAUUUAGUAUUGUGACGUAACAUGAAUGUUAUACAAUUGGAUAUAAUCUAGUUGAAUCAAUAACUAGAUUUGGAUAUGAUAUCAUACUUGUAUAAACAAGUAGAUGUAAUUGCAUAGCAUUUGUUUAUUCCAAGUGGUGGAGGUUUACAUUGAACUACAGAAUAUGUGCCCUGAGUCUUUGAGUAUAACUUUAGUAAACCACUUUCCUUAUGUGUAAGGAAUAGUGCGAGAACAAUGAGUGAGUGACCAGGUGUAGCCUGAUAGAAUCACUAGUACGAUGUAAAGCUUAAAUUUAUUAAGUUAUAUUAACUAUUGAUAGUGCAUUAUGUCAACAAGUAAUUGAGAGCAAUUUAUGAUUUGGCACUACACUGUCGACCUUGGGUCGAGAUGAGAUUCCAUGAUGUCGUUGUGAUAUUGUACCAUGGAUUACAGUUUGCAUACUAGACAGCCUUCGGGUGGGUCUUUAUACUAGACAGCCUUCGGGUGGGUCUUCAUACAAGACAGCCUUUGGGUGGAUCUUACAAGAUUUAAACUUUGAGUAGUUAAACGACAAGUGAACAAUGGCAUCUUUACCAUUUACAUUGUGGACAAUGUGUCGGUUGAAUAUUUAUUGAUGAACAAGCUAGAAGGCUGACAUUUUGAUUAGUUAGUAACAUAAUGGCUGUAUGUCUCAUUAUUGCUAAUAUAGAAGGUAAUUACAUUUCUAUUAAUAUGAAUGAUAGAGUCUAUCAUAAUAAACUAGUACCUGCAACCUGUUGAUAUUUAUUUCUGAGCAAGUAGCAUGAUAGGUUUAUUUUUAUAUCUGUUGUAGU